UGAAAUGCUUCAAUGUUAAUUGGACACAUU
RNAcentral lists this non-coding RNA (30 nucleotides) under Rattus norvegicus (Norway rat). The record is from RNAcentral. Lineage: Eukaryota; Metazoa; Chordata; Mammalia; Rodentia; Muridae.